CACGAAACCGUUUGAGCUAAUUCGGUUUUUGCGUAUGUGGCAUAAUACUUGUUGAAAUCAAAUUAGGGGUGAUAGGCCCACAAAAGCGGCAAUAUCUUGAAGUAAACGAAAAAAAUUUAGUUUAUAGAGAGUUACAAAGUGAUAAGAUUUUGUAAAACGUUCAAGAGAUGCUAUUAUAGGGGGUGGAUUUAAAAGUCUGCCUAUGGAAAAAAAAUUAUUAUGUUAUUGCAGUUAUUAUACUAGUUUACGGUAGUGUAACUAUCUUAUAAUCAUUAUGUUAAUAUGAGUACUGAGCAAGUAUUUAUAGUGAACUCGGCAAUAAAGCCUUCAACUGUUUAUCAAAAACAUAGCCACACGAUACACGUGUGGUGUGUUCUGCUCAAUGAUGUUUAAAUAGCCGCAGUACCCUGACUGUGCAAAGGUAGCGUAAUCAUUUGUCUUUUAAUUGGAGUCCUGUAUGAAUGAAUGCAUGGGGGCUUACUUUACCAUAAAUAUAAACCGAAAUUGCUUAAGAGGUGCAAAAACCUUUAUCUAAAUAAUAGACGAGAAGACCCUAGAAAUUUAAGCACUAAUUUUGUUGGGGCAACAUAGUAGAUAAACCUAUUUAAUGUACAUGAAAUAAAUUUGUUUGGCAAAAUUACUCUAGGGAUAACAGCAUAAUUCCGUAUGAGUUUGUGACCUCGAUGUUGGAUUAGGGAACUAAAGCUUAAAA
Molecule: ribosomal RNA, 712 nt
Filed under: Torresitrachia sp. M FK-2010b
Lineage: Eukaryota; Metazoa; Mollusca; Gastropoda; Stylommatophora; Camaenidae
Description: partial 16S ribosomal RNA
Rfam family: Archaeal large subunit ribosomal RNA (bases 263-712)
Source: RNAcentral